CCUUACUGCAGCCAGAGCUGAGUUAGACGUUAACGGAGGCGGUUGGUGAACACGAGAGCUAGUGAAAAGAAGAGUUCGUUUGAUUUGUUUCAGCCCCAGGACUGAGGCGUUCAGGUGGCGUGACUGGCGUGCCCUGUCUGCAAUCCUCCCUUUCAGUAAGGGGCAGUAAGGACAAGAUCCACCCACCACCCAGUGCAUGCUACAUAUGUGUGUAAUAAAUUGAGAGGGAAAGUGUGUGUGAUAAAUGAAAUUUAAUAAAGUAAGUAAAAUUUUGAAUUUGUGCUUCUUUUCUGAAAUACAUUAGUACAAGGUUUUGAUUUUUAGAUAAUUUAUUCCAAGAUGUUGAUAAUUUAACACUCAAUAUACAUGA
This is a long non-coding RNA of Alosa alosa (allis shad), 370 nucleotides long. RefSeq lists it as uncharacterized. The transcript has 3 exons. NCBI's taxonomy places the organism in Eukaryota, Metazoa, Chordata, Actinopteri, Clupeiformes, Clupeidae. The record is from RefSeq and is a predicted model, not a curated record.